This 499-nucleotide ribosomal RNA is filed under the name uncultured bacterium. Its description in RNAcentral is "partial 16S ribosomal RNA". It matches the Rfam family "Bacterial small subunit ribosomal RNA", at positions 28 to 507 of the family's 1533-position model. The record is from RNAcentral.
GAUGAACGCUGGCGGCGUGCCUAAUACAUGCAAGUCGAGCGAACAGACGAGAGUGCUUGCACUCUCUGACGUUAGCGGCGGACGGGUGAGUAACACGUGGGUAACCUACCUAUAAGACUGGGAUAACUUCGGGAAACCGGAGCUAAUACCGGAUAAUAUUUAGCUUCGCAUGAAGCAAUAGUGAAAGACGGUUCUGCUGUCACUUAUAGAUGGACCCGCGGUGUAUUAGCUAGUUGGUGAGGUAACGGCUCACCAAGGCAACGAUACAUAGCCGACCUGAGAGGGUGAUCGGCCACACUGGGACUGAGACACGGCCCAGACUCCUACGGGAGGCAGCAGUAGGGAAUCUUCCGCAUUGGACGAAAGUCUGACGGAGCAAUGCCGCGUGAGUGAAGAAGGUUUUCGGAUCGUAAAACUCUGUUGUAAGGGAAGAACAAGUACGUUAGUAACUGAACGUACCUUGACGGUACCUUACCAGAAAGCCACGGCUAACUACGUG